CCUACGGGUGGCUGCAGUGGGGAAUAUUGCACAAUGGGCGCAAGCCUGAUGCAGCCAUGCCGCGUGUGUGAAGAAGGCCUUCGGGUUGUAAAGCACUUUCAGCGGGGAGGAAGGCGUUAAGGUUAAUAACCUUGUCGAUUGACGUUACCCGCAGAAGAAGCACCGGCUAACUCCGUGCCAGCAGCCGCGGUAAUACGGAGGGUGCAAGCGUUAAUCGGAAUUACUGGGCGUAAAGCGCACGCAGGCGGUCUGUCAAGUCGGAUGUGAAAUCCCCGGCUCAACCUGGGAACUGCAUUCGAAACUGGCAGGCUAGAGUCUUGUAGAGGGGGGUAGAAUUCCAGGUGUAGCGGUGAAAUGCGUAGAGAUCUGGAGGAAUACCGGUGGCGAAGGCGGCCCCCUGGACAAAGACUGACGCUCAGGUGCGAAAGCGUGGGGAGCAAACAGGAUUAGAUACCCCUGUAGUC
Molecule: ribosomal RNA, 464 nt
Filed under: uncultured Klebsiella sp.
Lineage: Bacteria; Pseudomonadati; Pseudomonadota; Gammaproteobacteria; Enterobacterales; Enterobacteriaceae
Description: bacterial SSU rRNA
Rfam family: Bacterial small subunit ribosomal RNA
Source: RNAcentral